GAAAUACAGCCAGACCAGAGCCUUUGCAGUCCGCAGCUGACCGGAAGACGUUGCCUUUCAUUCAUUCAUUCUGCCCGCCUCUGUGGACUCCUUUACUAGGCGACCAGCCCUGAAACAGAAGUUGGACAUUUUUUAAAGGUUCUUGCGCUCGGCAAGGGGAGCAGAUAGAUGCUCAGGAGCGAAAGACGCAGAGAAUUGGAUCUGGCGCCUCCUAACGCAGCCCGCACAGGAGCGAAGGGAUGGAGUGCAGUGGUGCGACCUUGGCUCACUGCAACCUCUGCCUUGCCUCCGGAGUUCAAGCGAUCCUCCUGCCUCGGCCUCCCAAGUAGCUGGGAUUACAGGCACCCACCGCCACACCCAGAGAGUGUGACGAUCCCCCUGAUGCGGCUGAGAUGUUCUGAAAUGAAGACGUUGGCUCUCAUCCCCAGCCUGAAGAGAGAAAAUUCUGAGAUGGCUCCCUUACAGAUUGAGAGCAGAUACGGGGUUUCACCGUGCUAGCCAGGAUGAUCUCGAUCUACUGACCUCGUGAUCCGCCCGCCUCGGCCUCCCAAAGUGCUGGGAUUAUAGGCGUGAGCCACCGCGCCCGGCGGCUGUGGCUAAUUAUUAGGCACUGGGUAGGAACACAGCCAAGAACGAUUGCAGGAUGGGUCCUUCCAGGACACUGACGUCUCAGCUUGCGCACUGUGAGUCCCUGGACGAGUUACUCCACCUCUCUGAACCUCCUCCUCACUUGCAUAAUGGGAAAAAUAAUGGACAUAGGAAGAUGAAACAAGACCUUGGAGACCACAUUUACCAUCUUAUUUUCCUUGUUCCUUUUUCUUUUCUUUUUUUGUUUUUGUUUGUUUGUUUUUUGGAGACAGGGUCUCACUCUGUCACCCAGGCUGGCGUGCAAUGGCGCGAUCUCAGCUCACUGCAGCCUCUGCCUCCUGUGUUCAAGGGAUCCUCCCACCUCAGCCUCCCGGGUAGCUGGCACCACAGACGCACACCACCAUGCCUGGCUAAAUUUUUUUGUAUUUUUAGUAGAAGUGGGGUUUUACCAUGUUGGCCAGGCUGUUCUCGAACUCCUGGCCUCAAGUGAUCCGUCCACCUCGGCCUCCCAAAGUGCUGGGAUUACAGGCGUGAACCACUGAGCCCGGCCCCUUGUUCCCUGUUCUGUUUCUUUUUCACUGUUAUCACUGAUCACCAUCGAUCAUAUUAUCUACAUAUCUAUUAGAUUGGCGCAAAAGUAAUUGCUGUUUUUGCCAUUACCUCCAAUGGCAUUACUUUCAGUGGCAAAAACUGCAAUUACUUUUGCGCCAACCUAAUAUAUUGAGACAGGGUCUCUCUCUGUCACCCAGGCUGCUGGAGGGCAGUGACACAAUCACAGCUCACUGCCAUGUCCAACUCCUGGAUUCAAGUGAUCCUCCCGCCUCAGUCUCCUGAUUACCUGGGACUACAGGCAUGUAUCACCACACCCAGCCGGUUUUUUUGUUUGUUUGUUUUUGAAACAGUUUUGCUUUUGCCCCCCAGGCUGGAGUGCAAUGGCAUGAUCUUGGUUCACUGCAACCUCUGCCUCCGGGGUUCAAGCGAUUCUCCUGUCUCAGCCUCCCAAGUAGCUGGGAUUACAGGUGCCUACCACCACACCUGGCUAAUUUUUGGUUUUGUGGGUGUGUGUGUGUGUGUGUGUGUGUGUGUGUGUGUGUGUUGGAGUCUGGCUCUGUCACCCAGGCUGCUGGAGUGCAAUGGCGCAAUCUUCAGCUCACUGCAACCUCUGCCUCCUGGGUUUAAGCAAUUCUCCUGCCUCAGACUCCUGAGUAGCUGAGAUUACAGGUGUCCACCACCACGCCCGGCUAAUUUUUGUAUUUUUAGUAGAGACAGGGUUUCACCGUGUUGGCCAGGCUGGUCUCCAUCUCCUGACCUCAGGUGAUCCACCUGCCUCA
This 1919-nucleotide long non-coding RNA is filed under the name Homo sapiens (human). Its description in RNAcentral is "HSALNT0371037". Lineage: Eukaryota; Metazoa; Chordata; Mammalia; Primates; Hominidae. The record is from RNAcentral.